UGGAUUGCUUUUGGUUUUUUGAGUC
This 25-nucleotide non-coding RNA is filed under the name Cricetulus griseus (Chinese hamster). Lineage: Eukaryota; Metazoa; Chordata; Mammalia; Rodentia; Cricetidae. The record is from RNAcentral.